CGGAGUAGGUAAAUCAGUUUUCCCUGGUUUCAAGAAACCAUGGUCUCACUUGUUGUUGGAGAUGUGACGUGACUCGACUAGGGUGCCACCUUCUGCUUGGAUGAAGGAGUUGAUGACCCAUUUCUCACUUGUGGGUAGAGUAUAUAGCUGCAACAAAAGCUUCACUGUAUAUUUUCAGCUUGCUUAAUUGAGCUGAACUAGCUAUAUUCUUGCCAGCUGCACAUGGUGUUGCUAUAGCUUUAUGAUGUUGCAAACUUGUCCAGCUACAUGCAGCUGUCUGUUAUCUAGAUAGAUAUAAUUAUAGCUAGUAUAGCUACUCUUUUAGGACAACCACUUAUCAACUUGCUGUUCUGUCAGCACUGACCGUACCAUUUAUAGAAGUGUCCCAAGCUAACAAGUAAAUUGUUCCAUAGCUACCUCUGCACAAGAGUCACCUACCAGCAGUCAUGUUUGUCGAAUGUAAAUGUCUGCCCUAGAUUCUAGAACAUAAUUAUUUGGUUGUCCGAUGAUUCUUAUUUCAAAUGGGAACAGUUUUUGGACACUGGAAUUGGGAUACAGUACCAACCUUACCUCUUCAAUUUGCUCUGACAACGCUCAGCAGAUCUAUUCCUCUACUGGAAAACCCUGGAAAAUCCGGGAUCCUAAGAACAGAAGGAAAACUGCUGUUUUACUAUUUGGAUUUACGCUAUUGCAAACAGGAAUUUUUUUCGCAAAUGCACUAUUGAGCAGUGAUGAAACUGUAUGCUAAGUUACAGUCAUUUUUCCUCGAGUGAAGACCAGUGACACGUUAUUCCACUAAUCUGAUAGUAUUUAUGUGUGUGUUUAUGUGUUAGAAAGAUAACAUAUUUAUUUAUUUAUCUUCACAAUGCAAAUACUACACAUACUAAAGGUUGCGAAUUGGCAAGUUGUGUCAAUUAUUACUCUAUAUUUUGUUUUUAUUCGCAUAUCAUAAAGGGAAGGUUAACUUCAU
Long non-coding RNA from Halichondria panicea, 970 nucleotides. RefSeq lists it as uncharacterized. The transcript has 3 exons. Lineage: Eukaryota; Metazoa; Porifera; Demospongiae; Suberitida; Halichondriidae. The record is from RefSeq and is a predicted model, not a curated record.